CAUCCUCCAUUUUCGCAACUAUGGUACAGCCUUCACUAAUCAGGUAAUAACUCUCCGCUCGUAACUCCGAUUGAGCUGAUUCCGGUCCCAUUGGAUAGCUAACGAAUUUCUCUUCGAUUUGCACCUAUGGUUCGCAUUUAUAGCUUCUGAUUCGAAGGAGAAAACUGACCUUGAAGUUGUGUCAGUGAUGCUGAAAGUGUGAAAAGAGGGAUUACGGGUUUGUUCUUGUUGGAGAUGAAGAUUUGAUCAAGAAGGAAGUUUAGUGGAAGCAAGAACACAAUCUCAACCUCCAUUUUAGCAAGGUGAGUCCUUUAGAUAGAACUUGGGUAGGAUUUGGGGAAGAAUGCAUGUCAAGGGUUUAGAUGGAGAUGAACAUAUUGCAUGCUUAAAUGAAUGAUAAAUGUGACAAAUUGAUAAUUGGUAAUUUUCUGUGAUGCAUGCUUGAUUUAAUGCUUAGAUUGUAUUUUAUGUAUGUAUUGUGUCCAUUAGAUCACUACUACAUGUUAGAAUUCGUUGGAAUUAUGUUAGUGAUGCAUGGAAUCAAUUAUGGGGCAAUUGGGACUGUUAUAGAACCCUUAAAAUGCAGAAAAUUGAUUCUGCUUCAGGGUAAUCGGUUACUGGCAUUUGGGUAACCGAUUACUCUGUGUAAAUUUGCGUUUCUGGGCAUUUUUCAUGCCAGUAACCGGUUACUGGCUUCUGAGUAACCGGUUACCCUGGACGCAGAAGGAAAAAUCAGCAAACUUUAGAAGGUCGUAACUUUCGGCUCGGGUAUCGGAAUUACGCAAACUUUAUAUCGUUGGAAAGCUAGCGACGUGUACUUUCUAAUAAAAUUGGUCCCCAAACCAGAAUGUGUGAUUUAAUAAUAUUGGAACCCUACUUAGUGCGCCUCGUCGGGCAAGAUUUUAUGUUACUAACUCCCCCGAGAGCAGUUCCGUUCCGAAUAGAGAACCGAACGCCUCCUUAGUCGUGUGAGACUUGUUUAAAUUAUAUUUGAACAUGUUAAUGCUGUCAAUGAUCAUGGAUGUGUUGAUUCUCAAUAUGCGGAUCAUUAAUUAAUGCAUUAUAUUGAUAUGCUUUAUGAUGAUCAUAUUAUGUUUAUUCGUCCGUUCGAUUGACAUUCGGAGAUGGUUGCUUGUUUGUGGCAUGAUGCUUUGUGUGAUAAUGAUCAUUAAUUCCCAUUGUUUCGGUUAAACAUUCGGGAUUGAUUGUAUUGUGUGAUUGACGCUUGUUAUGCGUGUGGUAUGCUAGAAUCGAAGUGGGCCACUACUAGGUGGUAAGGCACUAUUGUAUAUGGACUAGUUUCCAAAUACCAUUGCGAUGUGCUCGUGAGAGUCUAUGAGGCGUGUCUCACUUGCGGUUAACACAUUGGCGUUCUUGGUAUGAUUAACACACCUGAACUACCGUUGCAGUGUGCUUGUGAGGGUCUGGAGGCAUUUUACUCACUUGCUGUAUACACACUCGCGUGCUCGGUAUGAUGGCGUUAUGCGGCUAAGUAAGCCUACGCAUAACAGGUAAACCAUCUCUAGUGAUGCCAUGUAGGCUACAUCAUUAGGUUCCUACCCGGAUGGGCUCAUGCGUCGAGACGGCGUGUUGCACUUGCUGUUAACACCACGUGCGUACAGAUGGUUAAUGGAACGGUGUCGCCUCUUAGGCAAGGUCAUCUCGCAGCCAAGUAGGCUUGUGCGAACCCAUUUAAUCACUCUUGCAGGGUGCUUGUGCAAGUCUCUUGACAAAUAGGCAUGGGUGAACCCACCGAGGGUGUGCGUGCAGCCUUGGUAGUUUGGUUGUUACCACUUCUGGAUUCCCCGUACAUGGGUAUGGGUCUGCAUACGUGUUUGUUGUACUAUUUGUGUACUUGUGAUACGAUGACUCCUAUGGUGGACGAUUCAUGUAUUUGCUCCGUACUUGUACCGGAUGAGAGGAUAAACCCCGGAUCAAUGGUGGAUUCGGUUUGUGAUGCAUGUACCCUGUAGAGCCGAGUGGACCCAUAGGAUAGGAGGACUCACUGAGAUUUAGUAAUCUCACCCCAAUCAACUUAUAUUUUUUUCAGGUGCAGUUAGUAGCGUUUGGUCAGUAACAGGUUUGGACUGAAGACUUGGAAGUGGUGUUGGCUCGAAGACCUCGUUGGUUUUGACAUUCCGCUGUGCAAGAUCUAUUGAAGACUCAUGUAUUAUGCUUCUUAGUAGAAUUUCAUAUUGUAUUUUAUAUGGAUCUUUCUAUAACUAUAGCUUUUGUAUGUAUUCAAUAUCAAUUUUAACGUUUCAUGCAUAAUAUACUAGUCAGUUAUGUAUGGGGUGUUACAGUUGGUAUCAGAGCAGGUCGAUUCUCGGCCGAGCCAUGAGACAUCACUAGCAAUUCCUUUUCCUCCUCUCAAGUGUGCGUUGCUAGCCUGAUUUUACUGAUAUCUCAUUCAGUUGUUGAACUUGAUCAACUCAUCGACUGAGUGUGAGACAGUAGGAUUACGGCAGAGCCGCCACGAGGACUCGUAAACCUGUAAGUGUUGUGAACCCAAGUAGUUGAAGUGGGACGAGUAAUGGAUUUUUUGGAUGUUGUAAGUGGAUAAUAUUGGAGUCGUCAAGCUUAAGGAGAGCGUUUGACGCGAAGUAGUGAUACCCGAACUGUCAAGAUGUGGAUGGAGACAACUAGAACCCCCAGGAUUUUGACUGAACGAAGUGAAGAUUUCUCUAAGUCUUGGUAAUAGCAAGGGAAAUCCAAAUAGGAAUGAGUAGGAGCCUUGUAAGUGGGAUUCUCCGAAGGUGUUGAGCUGAGAAUUAGUAGGAUUCAGUACUGAUGAUGCUGCUGGUGUUGAGUGCGACUGAUGAGCUGAUAGGACAGAAUAACCUUUGGUAGUGCGGACACAGAAGUCAGACCAUUCUGAUUGCGUUGGUACUAACAGUAAUUGGAUGGGUGAAGUACUAGAUUCUUAAUCAUCUUGGUGCACCUAAGCGAGAGUAGUUUCCUAGUAAGGGUUGGUGGAAUGUACGAGUGUGGUAGCUUACGAUUGGGCGAGGCUUGAAUACCCGGUCGAUAGAAGAGGUUAUGUAUUUCUGUUCUUAUCAUUUUAUAUUUAAGCUCUAGAACUACGCUAGAUGAAAUAUGAAAUGAUGUAGAAGCGUGAAAUGCAGUAACCUGAGUUCUUGUUAGUUGUUGUUCGUCUGACCCCGAGUGAAGCCAUAGAACUACGCUUGGUGUUGGGCGUUCGGGCGAGUAAGAACUAAGAUCUAUCUGGAACGUCAGUAGGAUGAUCGCAGUUGAGUCGAAUGUUAGGAACCAUAGUAUUCCUAUCUGGACUGAAUUAUCCCUGGAAUCUCAUGCAUGCGUGGGACGAGUGGGUACCCGCACUGCAUGGUGACCCGGAGUUGAACUUCAAAUCUUCGUGCUUAGCGUUUUGGAUUUCCGAGUAAGUAAACCUUGGUGUGUAGCACUCUCAGGUUUUAGCAUCCUGAGGAGUGUGAUUCGAAGGACUUGAGGAACGAUGAGCCUAUUGGAAGCCUGUUCAGACACUUGUCGGUUGUGAUAAUAGGAUACUUGUGUGGGUCAUUAUACGCCACUGAGGUAGUUUACCUGGAUACAUGGCCUCGGAGUUAGACCACCAUGUUGGUACUACCAGACGGGUAUGAUGCCACAAUAUCGCUAUCGUGCACAAAUGCGUGAGUCAUCCUUAUUCCGACAUGUGUGGGACAAAGGUGAUCUGAAGCUCAAGGUGGAAUUCUGAUUUGGCACUCGUGAGACACAGAUCCAGACUCUCAUAAGGUAUGUGGGAUAAGGAUCCAUACAUCGCACUCGAUAGUAGAGGAAUAACUAGACAGGCGAUGAUGUGAUGGAUCAAGACCCAAUAUUAUACUUAUGGAGACUCUGAGUGAUCGUGAUCGCGUGAGUUAGUAUCCGAUUGUACCUUGGGGAUGUCCUCGUUUUGUGAAGUGUUAAAUUGGAAAUCUUGCAUGAGUGUCUAGAGUGGGACUCAUGUGCGGUCAUGAUAUCCUGGUCAGCAUGGUGAGUGGCUAUCAUGUACCAUUGGCGACCGGUGAUGGAAUAUGCAAGUUGUAUCUUGGAUCGGCUCGAUGUGUGAUGUGUCCGGUAAGAUAUUGCUAGGUACUCUGAAAGGAGAAGUGUUAAUCUUGGUAAGGCAUGGACAAUUUGGUUUGAGAACUGCUAAGGAGUUUAUAAGAGAGAUGUUCGAAGUGCAAAGUGCAAAGUGCAAUUUCUUGCAUUGUGGCUACACUCAGACCGUUGGAAGCACUGCAAUGAAGGAUGCAGCCGCUGAGGAAGUCAGUUCAGUGUCUGAUUCAGAGGUGGAACAUACGUUAGAUGAUUGUGUGAAUGGAGUGUGGCUAUGGGAGGAUCGUUAUAUCAGUAGGUCACACGAGUUAUCAGAGGUGAUACUACGCUAAGAGAAUGAAGGUGUAUGGUUGGGUAGAAGUUGUGUAGAACUGCUAGAGUUAUCAUGAACUGCAGUAUGUCGUGAAGGAUUCGAUAUACCGGUUGAGCAACAAAGAUUUGUUGGAAUGACAGACAUAACGGUUAUACACUAUGAGAAUCAGUAACGAAGGACGAUUUCUAAGUCAAUGAGCAUUUGGUUCUCAAUGUCCUGAGGAUGAAACGUGUACCUAAGUUGUGGUAGAUGAACUAUAUGGAAUGGCAGAGUAAGUAGAAGCUUGAUUCUGGAAAGUACGCAACUUCAAAGAGUAGUAGCCGAUGAUGGAUAUAUAUAUAAAGUUCUGGCACGUGUUGUAAUUGGACGACUGUAGAUAAGGAAUUAUUGUGUAUUAAUGGGAACUAAGUGAAUUAUGGAUAUAAUAUGACUCAGAGGAUUUCAAGGUGUGUGACUUGUUGGAAUCAGAGUAGCGCAACGGAUCAGGGAAGAAUCAGAUAAGUCUGAGGUAGGAAUGGACGGACUAUUCGCAUGAUCUUAUAUUAGGAUGAAAAUAUCUUCCUAAGGGAAAUUGUCAAAGCAGCGUUUCGUUCGUUCUAGUCUCUUAAGGAUCACCAUAAUCUUGAGAGGUAUUGUUGACGACCGACUUAGAGGAGGCUUCAUGAUUGAUGUGCAAUCGGAUGUUUUCUUGGUCGACGGUCGAGCUUGUGAAUAUCGUGAUCGUUGAAAUGAUGAAGUCAAGUGAAGCAUUUUGCUUGACAAAGAUUUAUCAUGGAUAUGUCUGGUGCACUUAUGAGCGUGCGUGAAGAAUUUGGGCGAAGAUUGUAGGACCGCUGUUAGAGUUCACCUUUUGUCAGUGGAACUGCAAGGGAAAUUGUCGGAUAUUAAGGAUGUAGUUGUGGGAUUCUACUCCCUUGUGGUUUGCAGUGGCAGUGAUGUGGUCUAAGACUGAAUGAAGGAUCGGUUUGGAAGUGAAUCCGGGAUAUCGUCAUUGAAGGAAAGUUGUAAUAAGAUUUCUUGGAAUGGCAGUGUUUUUGGGAACCUAUGGCAAAAGUGGAGAUUCUGGGGCUUAUAUUAGUAAGGAUGAGCUUAGCAGAUACGUGGUAUGAUGAAUAUCCCAACUAGGCAUGGAUUGCCAUCAGUUCCAAGGCUACAGACUCAGUAUGAUGUGUAGAGGUUGGAGACCUCAGAAGAGAUGUGUCAUGAAAGAUCUGGGGUUUUCAAUCGGGGAUGGUAGAGCACAAGUCUAUUAGUAGUAGGUUAUGUUUCCUUAGACGGAACAAGUUUCAAUCAGAGUUGUAAGGUUUAUCCAAAGGAGAAGAUGUGAAGGUGUUUGUUGGCAUGGUGAUCGGAAGGAAUUCGAGGGCGAAUUCUAUUUAAGGGGGGGAGAAUGUAAUACCCCGGUUUGCCGACGCUAGUAAUUAUCAUUUAAUUGGAUAAUUGGAAAUUAGAAUGCACGUCUGGUCCUAUUCCGUAUCAAUGUAAGAAUUUGCUUAUAAGAAGAGCUAGUGGAUUUAGUUAGAAAGGAACCAUGUGGCAUAUUGGUAAAUAUGGCUUAGUUAAAGAGCAAAUUGGUCCAAAGAAAAAGUAUAUCAUUAUAAGGGUUUGUUUGGCUGAAAGGAUCAGAAUUGGAAAAGGAAAUGAGAAGCUUAGAAGCAUGGGAGAGAAGAGGAAGAUUCAUGUUCAUCACCUUCAUCCUCCAUUUUCGCAACUAUGGUACAGCCUUCACUAAUCAGCUUCUGAUUCGAAGGAGAAAACUGACCUUGAAGUUGUGUCAGUGAUGCUGAAAGUGUGAAAAGAGGGAUUACGGGUUUGUUCUUGUUGGAGAUGAAGAUUUGAUCAAGAAGGAAGUUUAGUGGAAGCAAGAACACAAUCUCAACCUCCAUUUUAGCAAGGUGCAGUUAGUAGCGUUUGGUCAGUAACAGGUUUGGACUGAAGACUUGGAAGUGGUGUUGGCUCGAAGACCUCGUUGGUUUUGACAUUCCGCUGUGCAAGAUCUAUUGAAGACUCA
Long non-coding RNA from Vicia villosa (hairy vetch), 6383 nucleotides. RefSeq lists it as uncharacterized. The record is from RefSeq and is a predicted model, not a curated record. The transcript is spliced from 3 exons. NCBI's taxonomy places the organism in Eukaryota, Viridiplantae, Streptophyta, Magnoliopsida, Fabales, Fabaceae.